This 231-nucleotide ribosomal RNA is filed under the name Mesorhizobium sp. RNAcentral's name for it is "partial 16S ribosomal RNA". It matches the Rfam family "Bacterial small subunit ribosomal RNA", at positions 86 to 320 of the family's 1533-position model. Lineage: Bacteria; Pseudomonadati; Pseudomonadota; Alphaproteobacteria; Hyphomicrobiales; Phyllobacteriaceae. The record is from RNAcentral.
GGGUGACGAGCGGCGGACGGGUGAGUAAUGUCUGGGAAACUGCCUGAUGGAGGGGGAUAACUACUGGAAACGGUAGCUAAUACCGCAUAACGUCUUCGGACCAAAGUGGGGGACCUUCGGGCCUCACACCAUCGGAUGUGCCCAGAUGGGAUUAGCUAGUAGGUGGGGUAACGGCUCACCUAGGCGACGAUCCCUAGCUGGUCUGAGAGGAUGACCAGCCACACUGGAACU